Molecule: ribosomal RNA, 499 nt
Filed under: Dacus pusillus
Lineage: Eukaryota; Metazoa; Arthropoda; Insecta; Diptera; Tephritidae
Description: partial large subunit ribosomal RNA
Rfam family: Bacterial large subunit ribosomal RNA
Source: RNAcentral
CCUGUUUAACAAAAACAUGUCUUUUUGAGUUAUUUUUAAAGUCUGACCUGCCCACUGAGUUUUUGAAUGGCCGCAGUAUUCUAACUGUGCAAAGGUAGCAUAAUCAUUAGUCUUUUAAUUGAAGGCUGGUAUGAACGGUUGGACGAGGUAUAUACUGUUUCAUAUAAAUUUACAUUAGAAUUUUAUAUUUUAGUUAAAAAGCUAAAAUGGUGUUAAAAGACGAGAAGACCCUAUAAAUCUUUAUAUUUAAUUGAAUUUAAAUUUUUUGGAUUUGUUUUGUUUUUAUUUUAUGGAAUAUUUUGUUGGGGUGAUGUUAAAAUUUGAUGAACUUUUAAUUAUUUAAAAUCAUUUAUUUAUGAAUUAUUGAUCCAUUAUUAGUGAUUAUAAGUUUAAGUUACUUUAGGGAUAACAGCGUAAUUUUUUUGGAGAGUUCAUAUCGAUAAAAAAGUUUGCGACCUCGAUGUUGGAUUAAGAUAUAUUUAGGUGUAGCUGCUUAAAU